Molecule: ribosomal RNA, 299 nt
Filed under: Ataenius sp. FCO-2006
Lineage: Eukaryota; Metazoa; Arthropoda; Insecta; Coleoptera; Scarabaeidae
Description: partial 28S ribosomal RNA
Rfam family: Eukaryotic large subunit ribosomal RNA
Source: RNAcentral
AUCGCACUAAACCUAAAGGCGUAAUGAAAGUGAAGGUCCGCCUUGCGCGGACCGAGGGAGGAUGGGUCCGUCCUAGAACGGGCCCCGCACUCCCGGGGCGUCUCACUCUCAUCGCGAGAAGAGGCGCACCCAGAGCGUACACGCUGGGACCCGAAAGAUGGUGAACUAUGCCUGGUCAGGACGAAGUCAGGGGAAACCCUGAUGGAGGUCCGUAGCGAUUCUGACGUGCAAAUCGAUCGUCGGAACUGGGUAUAGGGGCGAAAGACUAAUCGAACCAUCUAGUAGCUGGUUCCUUCCGA